CCUACGGGGGGCUGCAGUGAGGAAUAUUGCGCAAUGGAGGCAACUCUGACGCAGCCAUGCCGCGUGCAGGAAGAAGGCGCUACGCGUUGUAAACUGCUUUUAUCCGGGAAGAAACCCUCCGACGUGUCGGAGGUUGACGGUACCGGAGGAAUAAGCACCGGCUAACUUCGUGCCAGCAGCCGCGGUAAUACGAAGGGUGCAAGCGUUAUCCGGAUUCAUUGGGUUUAAAGGGUGCGUAGGCGGAGUGUUAAGUCAGUGGUGAAAUCCUGCAGCUCAACUGUAGACUUGCCAUUGAUACUGACGCUCUUGAGUGCGCUUGAAGUGGGCGGAAUGUGCCGUGUAGCGGUGAAAUGCUUAGAUAUGGCACAGAACACCAAUUGCGAAGGCAGCUCACUAAGGCGAUACUGACGCUGAGGCACGAAAGCGUGGGGAUCGAACAGGAUUAGAUACCCCGGUAGUC
Molecule: ribosomal RNA, 460 nt
Filed under: uncultured Bacteroidota bacterium
Lineage: Bacteria; Pseudomonadati; Bacteroidota
Description: bacterial SSU rRNA
Rfam family: Bacterial small subunit ribosomal RNA
Source: RNAcentral